Molecule: non-coding RNA, 18 nt
Filed under: Arabidopsis thaliana (thale cress)
Lineage: Eukaryota; Viridiplantae; Streptophyta; Magnoliopsida; Brassicales; Brassicaceae
Source: RNAcentral
AUAUACUGGUCGCCGUAG